GGCUACCUAGCGCAAUGGUAGCGCGUUUGGCUUCGAUCGCCGGACGGAUACCAAAAGGUUGCAGGUUCGAGUCCUGCGGUGGUCA
Molecule: transfer RNA, 85 nt
Filed under: Leucogyrophana mollusca
Lineage: Eukaryota; Fungi; Basidiomycota; Agaricomycetes; Boletales
Description: tRNA-Arg
Rfam family: tRNA
About the family: Transfer RNA (tRNA) molecules are approximately 80 nucleotides in length. Their secondary structure includes four short double-helical elements and three loops (D, anti-codon, and T loops). Further hydrogen bonds mediate the characteristic L-shaped molecular structure. tRNAs have two regions of fundamental functional importance: the anti-codon, which is responsible for specific mRNA codon recognition, and the 3' end, to which the tRNAs corresponding amino acid is attached (by aminoacyl-tRNA synthetases). tRNAs cope with the degeneracy of the genetic code in two manners: having more than one tRNA (with a specific anti-codon) for a particular amino acid; and 'wobble' base-pairing, i.e. permitting non-standard base-pairing at the 3rd anti-codon position.
Source: RNAcentral